GAUGAAGAACGCAGCGAAAUGCGAUAAGUAAUGUGAAUUGCAGAAUUCAGUGAAUCAUCGAAUCUUUGAACGCACCUUGCGCCCUUUGGCCAUUCCGAAGGGCAUGCCUGUUUGAGUAUCAUGAAGACCUCAACUCUUCAUGGUUUUCCGUGAUGAGCUUGGACUUUGGGGGUCUUGCUGGCCUAUGGUCAGCUCCUCUAAAAUAAAUCAGCUUGCCAGUGUUUGGUGGGUAUCACAGGUGUGAUAACUAUCUACGCUUGUGGUUUUCCACCAGGUAACCUUCAGCAGUGGAGGUUCGCUGGAGCUCACAGAUGUGUCUCUCCUCAGUGAGGACAGCUCUUUGAAUGUUUGAUCUCAAAUCAGGUAGGACUACCCGCUGAACUUAAGCAUAUCAAUAAGCGGAGGA
Molecule: unclassified non-coding RNA, 406 nt
Filed under: soil metagenome
Description: partial contains 5.8S ribosomal RNA, internal transcribed spacer 2, and large subunit ribosomal RNA
Rfam family: 5.8S ribosomal RNA (bases 1-121)
Source: RNAcentral